Molecule: ribosomal RNA, 857 nt
Filed under: Agromyces italicus
Lineage: Bacteria; Bacillati; Actinomycetota; Actinomycetes; Micrococcales; Microbacteriaceae
Description: bacterial SSU rRNA
Rfam family: Bacterial small subunit ribosomal RNA
Source: RNAcentral
GAACGAUGAAGCUGGAGCUUGCUCUGGUGGAUUAGUGGCGAACGGGUGAGUAACACGUGAGUAACCUGCCCUGGACUCUGGGAUAACCCCGAGAAAUCGGAGCUAAUACCGGAUAGGACCUUGCACCGCAUGGUGUGGGGUGGAAAGUUUUUUCGGUUUGGGAUGGACUCGCGGCCUAUCAGCUUGUUGGUGAGGUAAUGGCUCACCAAGGCGUCGACGGGUAGCCGGCCUGAGAGGGUGACCGGCCACACUGGGACUGAGACACGGCCCAGACUCCUACGGGAGGCAGCAGUGGGGAAUAUUGCACAAUGGGCGCAAGCCUGAUGCAGCAACGCCGCGUGCGGGAUGACGGCCUUCGGGUUGUAAACCGCUUUUAGUAAGGAAGAAGGGGCCUUUGGGUCUUGACGGUACUUGCAGAAAAAGGACCGGCUAACUACGUGCCAGCAGCCGCGGUAAUACGUAGGGUCCGAGCGUUGUCCGGAAUUAUUGGGCGUAAAGAGCUCGUAGGCGGUUUGUCGCGUCUGCUGUGAAAACUAGAGGCUCAACCUCUAGCCUGCAGUGGGUACGGGCAGACUUGAGUGGUGUAGGGGAGACUGGAAUUCCUGGUGUAGCGGUGGAAUGCGCAGAUAUCAGGAGGAACACCGAUGGCGAAGGCAGGUCUCUGGGCACUUACUGACGCUGAGGAGCGAAAGCGUGGGGAGCGAACAGGAUUAGAUACCCUGGUAGUCCACGCCGUAAACGUUGGGCGCUAGAUGUGGGGACCUUUCCACGGUUUCCGUGUCGUAGCUAACGCAUUAAGCGCCCCGCCUGGGGAGUACGGCCGCAAGGCUAAAACUCARAGGAAUUGACGGGGCCCC